This 459-nucleotide ribosomal RNA is filed under the name Listeria monocytogenes. RNAcentral describes it as "partial 23S ribosomal RNA". It matches the Rfam family "Bacterial large subunit ribosomal RNA", at positions 1218 to 1673 of the family's 2925-position model. Lineage: Bacteria; Bacillati; Bacillota; Bacilli; Caryophanales; Listeriaceae. The record is from RNAcentral.
AGGUGCAUUGGUAGGAGAGCGUUCUAAGGGCGUUGAAGGCAGAUCGUGAGGACUGCUGGAGCGCUUAGAAGUGAGAAUGCCGGUAUGAGUAGCGAAAGACAGGUGAGAAUCCUGUCCACCGAAUGACUAAGGUUUCCUGGGGAAGGCUCGUCCGCCCAGGGUUAGUCGGGACCUAAGCCGAGGCCGACAGGCGUAGGCGAUGGACAACAGGUUGAUAUUCCUGUACCCGUUGUUUUUGUUUGAGCAAUGGAGGGACGCAGGAGGCUAAGAAGUGCAGACUGAUGGAUAUGUCUGUUCAAGCAGUAAGUCUUGGUAGGAGUCAAAUGCUUCUACCUAUACGGACAAGCUGUGAUGAGGAGGGAAAUAAUAGUACCGAAGCUUCUGAUGUCACACUGCCAAGAAAAGCUUCUAGUGAGAAAACAACGGCCCGUACCGCAAACCGACACAGGUAGUCGAGGA